This 561-nucleotide ribosomal RNA is filed under the name Lactobacillus delbrueckii subsp. lactis. RNAcentral's name for it is "bacterial SSU rRNA". It matches the Rfam family "Bacterial small subunit ribosomal RNA", at positions 338 to 888 of the family's 1533-position model. The record is from RNAcentral. Lineage: Bacteria; Bacillati; Bacillota; Bacilli; Lactobacillales; Lactobacillaceae.
CCUACGGGCGGGAGCAGUAGCGAAUGUUCUACACCGGACGCAAGUCUGAUGGAGGAACGCCGCGGGAGGGAAGAAGGUCUUCGGAUCGUAAAGCUCUGUUGUUGGUGAAGAAGGAUAGAGGCAGUAACUGGUCUUUAUUUGACGGUAAUCAACCAGAAAGUCACGGCUAACUACGUGCCAGCAGCCGCGGUAAUACGUAGGUGGCAAGCGUUGUCUGGAUUUAUUGGGCGUAAAGCGAGCGCAGGCGGAAUGUUAAGUUUGAAGUGAAAGCCCUCGGGUCAACCGUGGAACGGCAUCGGAAACUGUCAUUCUUGAGGGCAGAAGGGGAGAGUGGAACUCCAUGGGGAGCGGGGGAAUGGGUAGAUAUAAGGAAGAACCCCAGGGGGGAAGGGGGUUUUUUGGUUCGCAAAGGACGUUGGGGCUGGAAAGCAUGGGAAGCGACCAGGAUUUGAUCCCUUGGUAUUCCCUCCCAUAAUCUUUGAGCCCUAGGUGUGGGGGCCUUUCCUCCCUCAGUGCGGCGAGCAAAACGCAUUAAGCGCCCCCGCCGUGGGAGAAAAACCA